Molecule: ribosomal RNA, 274 nt
Filed under: uncultured prokaryote
Description: partial 16S ribosomal RNA
Rfam family: Archaeal small subunit ribosomal RNA
Source: RNAcentral
CACCGGCGGCCCGAGUGGUAACCGCUUUUAUUGGGUCUAAAGGGUCUGUAGCCGGCCAAGUAAGUCCCUUGGGAAAUCUGGCAGCUUAACUGUCAGGCUGCUAGGGGAUACUGCUAGGCUUGGGACCGGGAGAGGUGAGAGGUACCUUGGGGGUAGGGGUGAAAUCUUGUGAUCCUCGGGGGACCACCAGUGGCGAAGGCGUCUCACCAGAACGGGUCCGACGGUAAGGGACGAAAGCUAGGGGCACGAACCGGAUUAGAAACCCUCGUAGUCC